RNAcentral lists this ribosomal RNA (581 nucleotides) under uncultured bacterium. Its description in RNAcentral is "bacterial SSU rRNA". It matches the Rfam family "Bacterial small subunit ribosomal RNA", at positions 338 to 917 of the family's 1533-position model. The record is from RNAcentral.
UCUACGGGAGGCAGCAGUAAGGAAUAUUGGUCAAUGGGCGCAAGCCUGAACCAGCCAUCCAGCGUGCAGGAAGAAGGCCCUAUGGGUUGUAAACUGCUUUUGUCAGGGAAUAAACCUGUGGAUUUACUCCGCCGCUGAAGGUACCUGAAGAAUAAGCACCGGCUAACUCCGUGCCAGCAGCCGCGGUAAUACGGAGGGUGCGAGCGUUAUCCGGAAUUACUGGGUUUAAAGGGUGCGUAGGCGGCCAUGUAAGUCAGGAGUGAAAGUUUGCGGCUCAACCGUAAAAUUGCUUUUGAUACUGCAUGGCUGGAAUCAGGAUGAGGUCAGCGGAAUGUGGCAUGUAGCGGUGAAAUGCAUAGAUAUGCCAUAGAACACCAAUUGCGAAGGCAGCUGGCUAGACCUGUAUUGACGCUGAGGCACGAAAGCGUGGGGAGCGAACAGGAUUAGAUACCCUGGUAGUCCACGCCCUAAACGAUGCUUACUCGACGUAUGAGGCUUGUCUUUGUGCGUCCAAGGGAAACCGUUAAGUAAGCCACCUGGGGAGUACGACCGCAAGGUUGAAACUCAAAGGAAUUGACGGA